Molecule: long non-coding RNA, 316 nt
Filed under: Elaeis guineensis (African oil palm)
Lineage: Eukaryota; Viridiplantae; Streptophyta; Magnoliopsida; Arecales; Arecaceae
Description: long non-coding RNA (EGUI_LNC061327)
Source: RNAcentral
GUAAGGCACAUUUUUUGAAAAAAAAGUUUCUUAGUGAAGGAAUAAGUGCCUCUAAAAUCGAGCUUGAUGAAGUUCGACAGGUAGAAGAACCAACACCAAUAAUUGAAUCUGAACUAGAUUUGAUGAGAUCAAAUAUGGAGCCCAAUGAACAAACAUCCUUAAGGCGAUCUGGUAGAGAACCGCGUCAGUCAGACAGAUACUUAGGUUUUUUGGUCUGGGAUGGGGAUCCCAUCGAACUCGAUGAGAACGAUGAGUAUCUGAUCAUCUACAGGGAUGCAAUACAGAGAUCCAACUUUGAUAAUGGCUUGAAGCCAUG